UACGUAGGGUGCAAGCGUUGUCCGGAAUUACUGGGCGUAAAGCGUGCGUAGGUGGUUUGUUAAGUCUGUUGUGAAAGCCCCGGGCUCAACCUGGGAAUGGCAAUGGAUACUGGCAGGCUAGAGUGCGGUAGAGGGUAGUGGAAUUCCCGGUGUAGCGGUGAAAUGCGUAGAGAUCGGGAGGAACACCAGUGGCGAAGGCGGCUACCUGGACCAGCACUGACACUGAGGCACGAAAGCGUGGGGAGCAAACAGG
RNAcentral lists this ribosomal RNA (253 nucleotides) under uncultured bacterium. RNAcentral describes it as "partial 16S ribosomal RNA". It matches the Rfam family "Bacterial small subunit ribosomal RNA", at positions 524 to 776 of the family's 1533-position model. The record is from RNAcentral.